AUUGAACGCUGGCGGCAGGCCUAACACAUGCAAGUCGAGCGGUAGAGAGGUGCUUGCAUCUCUUGAGAGCGGCGGACGGGUGAGUAAUGCCUAGGAAUCUGCCUAGUGUGGGGGAUAACGUUCGGAAACGGACGCUAAUACCGCAUACGUCCUACGGGAGAAAGCGGGGGAUCUUCGGACCUCGCGCCAUUAGAUGAGCCUAGGUCGGAUUAGCUAGUUGGUGAGGUAAUGGCUCACCAAGGCGACGAUCCGUAACUGGUCUGAGAGGAUGAUCAGUCACACUGGAACUGAGACACGGUCCAGACUCCUACGGGAGGCAGCAGUGGGGAAUAUUGGACAAUGGGCGAAAGCCUGAUCCAGCCAUGCCGCGUGUGUGAAGAAGGUCUUCGGAUUGUAAAGCAC
This 402-nucleotide ribosomal RNA is filed under the name uncultured bacterium. RNAcentral describes it as "bacterial SSU rRNA". It matches the Rfam family "Bacterial small subunit ribosomal RNA", at positions 30 to 433 of the family's 1533-position model. The record is from RNAcentral.